CAUAUGGUUGGUGCUUUCAUGAAUCAAUCAUUGUGUAAAGCAGAAAUAGCACAUUGGACUCCUGAUAUUGGUUUGUGAGGGAUGCGUCACAUGUUGGAUAUGUUAGUUGUAUCUCCCGGAGCCAAGGAACAUGCGGGGCUGUGUAAUUGCUGUAGGAGUCACGGUCACUGCCCUUUUCGUCUGUUUACUCUUUGCAAGUGUACCUGGCUUUCGCCACUACAGUUUAUUCUAAGAGGAGUGUGGGGUUAUAUAAUAUCCAAAAUCUUUUGAAAUGCACAAUAUGAUGAGAAACUGUCUGAGUGAUUUAAUUAGCAGAUUUUAUGAAGCAUCAAUAGAGUAUAAGUUGUAUAGGCAUGGAGGGGCCAAAAUAAAUUAAUAAAGAAAGCUUUGCAGCAUCAAACGGCAACAAAGAAACCUGGUAAAGUAUGCAGCAAAAGAGGCCCCUUUGCCCAACUUGGGGGCCAUCUACUUUACUGGAGAGGAAGAAAAACACUGUUGUUUCAACACCACCAGCAGCUGAAGACCCAGAGUCAGCACAAGCUACGAAUGCAAUGACAAAGUAUCUGGAUGUGCUUUGAUUAACUAUUCAUUUUACAUGCUAUUGCAAAUUCAUCACAUUAAAUACUAGAUGGAAUGACAUGCAAGAUGCAAUUAAACGAAGCUCGCCACGUUAA
Molecule: long non-coding RNA, 674 nt
Organism: Carassius gibelio (silver crucian carp)
Lineage: Eukaryota; Metazoa; Chordata; Actinopteri; Cypriniformes; Cyprinidae
Exons: 2
Source: RefSeq, a predicted model, not a curated record